This 497-nucleotide ribosomal RNA is filed under the name uncultured bacterium. RNAcentral's name for it is "partial 16S ribosomal RNA". It matches the Rfam family "Bacterial small subunit ribosomal RNA", at positions 28 to 507 of the family's 1533-position model. The record is from RNAcentral.
GAUGAACGCUGGCGGCGUGCCUAAUACAUGCAAGUCGAGCGAACAGACGAGGAGCUUGCUCCUCUGACGUUAGCGGCGGACGGGUGAGUAACACGUGGAUAACCUACCUAUAAGACUGGGAUAACUUCGGGAAACCGGAGCUAAUACCGGAUAAUAUAUUGAACCGCAUGGUUCAAUAGUGAAAGACGGUUUUGCUGUCACUUAUAGAUGGAUCCGCGCCGCAUUAGCUAGUUGGUAAGGUAACGGCUUACCAAGGCAACGAUGCGUAGCCGACCUGAGAGGGUGAUCGGCCACACUGGAACUGAGCCACGGUCCAGACUCCUACGGGAGGAAGCAGUAGGGAAUCUUCCGCAAUGGGCGAAAGCCUGACGGAGCAACGCCGCGUGAGUGAUGAAGGUCUUCGGAUCGUAAAACUCUGUUAUUAGGGAAGAACAAAUGUGUAAGUAACUAUGCACGUCUUGACGGUACCUAAUCAGAAAGCCACGGCUAACUACGUG